GUCCACGCCGUAAACGAUGUCUACUAGCCGUUGGGAGACUUGAUUUCUUAGUGGCGCAGCUAACGCUUUAAGUAGACCGCCUGGGAGUACGGCCGCAAGGUUAAACUCAAAUGAAUUGACGGGCCCGCACAAGCGGUGGAGCAUGUGGUUUAAUUCGAUGCAACGCGAAGAACCUUACCAGGUCUUGACAUCCAGAGAACUUGGCAGAGAUGCCUUGGUGCCUUCGGGAGCUCUGAGACAGGUGCUGCAUGGCUGUCGU
This 259-nucleotide ribosomal RNA is filed under the name uncultured bacterium. RNAcentral's name for it is "partial 16S ribosomal RNA". It matches the Rfam family "Bacterial small subunit ribosomal RNA", at positions 793 to 1055 of the family's 1533-position model. The record is from RNAcentral.